Molecule: ribosomal RNA, 497 nt
Filed under: uncultured bacterium
Lineage: Bacteria
Description: partial 16S ribosomal RNA
Rfam family: Bacterial small subunit ribosomal RNA
Source: RNAcentral
GAUGAACGCUGGCGGCGUGCCUAAUACAUGCAAGUCGAGCGAACAGACGAGGAGCUUGCUCCUCUGACGUUAGCGGCGGACGGGUGAGUAACACGUGGAUAACCUACCUAUAAGACUGGGAUAACUUCGGGAAACCGGAGCUAAUACCGGAUAAUAUAUUGAACCGCAUGGUUCAAUAGUGAAAGACGGUUUUGCUGUCACUUAUAGAUGGAUCCGCGCCGCAUUAGCUAGUUGGUAAGGUAACGGCUUACCAAGGCAACGAUGCGUAGCCGACCUGAGAGGGUGAUCGGCCACACUGGAACUGAGACACGGUCCAGACUCCUACGGGAGGCAGCAGUAGGGAAUCUUCCGCAAUGGGCGAAGGCCUGACGGAGCAACGCCGCGUGAGGGAUGAAGGUCUUCGGAUCGUAAAACUCUGUUAUUAGGGAAGAACAAAUGUGUAAGUAACUAUGCACGUCUUGACGGUACCUAAUCAGAAAGCCACGGCUAACUACGUG